UACUUAAUUUGUCUGUAGAGGACCUUUAUAAAAAUUAAGUUUAAAAAGUCAGAAGAAAAGUCUUUGGCUGCCAUGUGUCUGGGAUUCGGGGUUCAAAGAACAUAGCCCCUGCACCUAUAAUCUGCCCCAGGGAUCCUACAAUUGGAGCAGAUGGUGUUCUCCAGACCUCUCUGGAAAUCAAAAAGGUCACAGUGGCGACAGACAAGCAGGAUCAAGAGGGAGGAGGCAUACCGUGGAGACGAAAUGCAGCAGCUUCUAUCAGUGCAGAGCGAAUAUCGCAAGGACUAUCGAACUCUGUGCAGUUGCACAUGGAGCUCUCUAGAAGUGCACGCCGUGGGGCUCAGGGACCACCACCGGAGUGAAGGCUGAGGCCAAGUAGACAGAACUCCAGGAUUCUGAUCCAUGUGUCAUCCAGAGCAUCUCUGCUUUAUCUGUCUUCUAUCUUGAUGACUGGAGCCAUAGCAACAGUGUUGUGAGCAUGAGGAUGACAGCUGCAGCCUGGGAACGGUGGAGUGACAAGCUAAAGAAAACCUGAGUCCUUGAUGGAAGCUUCCAUCGCAGCCCUGGACUUCCUACCUCUUGACUUCUCCUAAUGUGAGAGAAA
Galeopterus variegatus (Sunda flying lemur) is the source of this 604-nucleotide long non-coding RNA. RefSeq lists it as uncharacterized. The transcript is spliced from 3 exons. NCBI's taxonomy places the organism in Eukaryota, Metazoa, Chordata, Mammalia, Dermoptera, Cynocephalidae. The record is from RefSeq and is a predicted model, not a curated record.